CGAGGCGUUAAUAACUAUAUUUACCAAAGAAAGAUUAGACGACAUACCUCAGGGAGAACAAAUCUACAGGGGAGAAGAGGUAGAAGGAUUAAACUGCUUAGCGUGACAUGAUGGCGUUGUCGUUGGUGUUGAGAGGUGGAGGUCCACGUAUGAGCUACCAGGCAACCAACCAGUGACGUCGUGGUCUUGAGUCCUUGAUCCACUUGGCCUUCGGAGCUCGAGGCAUCUCGUUCGAACCGGUGCUGUGCUGGCGGGGGAUCGGGCAGUGCGCCGCCAGCCACUCACCCACUUAACCAAUUUUCCCCGUCAUUUUCCCUGCUCAGUGAGGGGUUGGGGGGAGCUUGAGGUAGGAGAGGGCCUUGUAAGGUCCGUCUCGCCUGGAUGUGGCCAUUUUCAGAGCAGCAGGUCGACCAAAUCUACUUAAACGGAUGUACAGUGCGUAGUGUUCUUUCUUUUGAGCCGAGGUGAGGAGGCGUUCUGGCUGACUUGAUAGCUGCUGUUCUGCGCUGUGGGUUGAUUGCUGGAUGGCAGACUCCCGCUGACAAGAAGUCCAGUGCGCAGCGUUCUUCCUUCUGACCCGAGAUGAGGCGCUCUGCUGGACUGGAUACGCUGUCCUGCUAGCUGAAAAAGAAAAAAAAAAUCACACAACUCUUACGAAAGCCUUAGCAAAUGUGUGUGCCUAUGCGCCGGAAUGUAAAAGAACAUGGCCCAGUGAUG
This is a long non-coding RNA of Eriocheir sinensis (Chinese mitten crab), 717 nucleotides long. RefSeq lists it as uncharacterized. The transcript has 3 exons. Lineage: Eukaryota; Metazoa; Arthropoda; Malacostraca; Decapoda; Varunidae. The record is from RefSeq and is a predicted model, not a curated record.